RNAcentral lists this Y RNA (107 nucleotides) under Propithecus coquereli (Coquerel's sifaka). Its description in RNAcentral is "Y RNA (ENSPCOG00000002813.1)". It matches the Rfam family "Y RNA". From Rfam's summary of the family: Y RNAs are components of the Ro ribonucleoprotein particle (Ro RNP), in association with Ro60 and La proteins. The Y RNAs and Ro60 and La proteins are well conserved, but the function of the Ro RNP is not known. The record is from Rfam by way of RNAcentral. Lineage: Eukaryota; Metazoa; Chordata; Mammalia; Primates; Indriidae.
GGCUGGUCCAAAGGUAGUGAGUUAUCUCACUGGAUUGUUCACAGUUACAGAUUGAACUCCUUGUUCUACUUCCCCCGCUUCUCACUACUGCACUUGACUAGUCUAAA